GACGAACGCUGGCGGCGUGCUUAACACAUGCAAGUCGAACGGUAAGGCCCUUCGGGGUACACGAGUGGCGAACGGGUGAGUAACACGUGGGUGAUCUGCCCUGCACUUCGGGAUAAGCCUGGGAAACUGGGUCUAAUACCGGAUAGGACCCUGGGAUGCAUGUCCUGGGGUGGAAAGCUUUUGCGGCGUGGGAUGGGCCCGCGGCCUAUCAGCUUGUUGGUGGGGUGAUGGCCUACCAAGGCGACGACGGGUAGCCGGCCUGAGAGGGUGACCGGCCACAAUGGGACUGAGAUACGGCCCAGACUCCUACGGGAGGCAGCAGUGGGGAAUAUUGCACAAUGGGCGCAAGCCUGAUGCAGCGACGCCGCGUGAGGGGUGACGGCCUUCGGGUUGUAAACCUCUUUCAGCACCGACGAAGCGCAAGUGACGGUAGGUGCAGAAGAAGGACCGGCCAACUACGUGCCAGCAGCCGCAGUAA
This 478-nucleotide ribosomal RNA is filed under the name uncultured bacterium. Its description in RNAcentral is "partial 16S ribosomal RNA". It matches the Rfam family "Bacterial small subunit ribosomal RNA", at positions 28 to 523 of the family's 1533-position model. The record is from RNAcentral.